This 468-nucleotide ribosomal RNA is filed under the name uncultured bacterium. RNAcentral's name for it is "partial 16S ribosomal RNA". It matches the Rfam family "Bacterial small subunit ribosomal RNA", at positions 28 to 507 of the family's 1533-position model. The record is from RNAcentral.
GACGAACGCUGGCGGCGUGCUUAACACAUGCAAGUCGAACGGAAAGGCCCUGCUGUUGUGGGGUGCUCGAGUGGCGAACGGGUGAGUAACACGUGAGUAACCUGCCCUUGACUUUGGGAUAACUUCAGGAAACUGGGGCUAAUACCGGAUAGGAGCUCCUGCUGCAUGGUGGGGGUUGGAAAGUUUCGGCGGUUGGGGAUGGACUCGCGGCUUAUCAGCUUGUUGGUGGGGUAGUGGCUUACCAAGGCUUUGACGGGUAGCCGGCCUGAGAGGGUGACCGGCCACAUUGGGACUGAGAUACGGCCCAGACUCCUACGGGAGGCAGCAGUGAGGAAUAUUGCACAAUGGGCGGAAGCCUGAUGCAGCAACGCCGCGUGCGGGAUGAAGGCCUUCGGGUUGUAAACCGCUUUCGCCUGUGACGAAGCGUGAGUGACGGUAAUGGGUAAAGAAGCACCGGCUAACUACGUG